AACGAACGCUGGCGGCAUGCCUAACACAUGCAAGUCGAACGAGACCUUCGGGUCUAGUGGCGCACGGGUGCGUAACGCGUGGGAACCUGCCCUUAGGUUCGGAAUAACUCCCCGAAAGGGGUGCUAAUACCGGAUAAUGUCUUCGGACCAAAGAUUUAUGGCCUUUGGAUGGGCCCGCGUUGGAUUAGCUAGUUGGUAGGGUAAAAGCCUACCAAGGCGACGAUCCAUAGCUGGUCUGAGAGGAUGAUCAGCCACACUGGGACUGAGACACGGCCCAGAAUCCUACGGGAGGCAGCAGUGGGGAAUAUUGGACAAUGGGCGAAAGCGUGAUACAGCAAUGCCGCGUGAGUGAUGAAGGCGUUAGGGUUGUAAAGCUCUUUUACACGGGAUGAUAAUGACAGUACCGGGAGAAUAAGCUCCGGCUAACUCCGUG
Molecule: ribosomal RNA, 433 nt
Filed under: uncultured bacterium
Lineage: Bacteria
Description: partial 16S ribosomal RNA
Rfam family: Bacterial small subunit ribosomal RNA
Source: RNAcentral